CCGAGCCCGGUGAAGGAACUGUGGGACGGCACGCGGUGGGAAUUGCCGCGGUGCGGAGCCAGGCCCGUCGGUGAGGAGCCCCCAGUGCUCCGGGAGUGGUCUCGUCAGGGCGGAGCAGAGCAGGAGGAGCACCUCUCUCGCCCUGCUAGCCGUGCUCCGUGCAUCCGGGGCACGCUGCUGCCUCAGUGCCAGCCACGGACCACCAUUCAGCAGCCGUUCAUCACCAUUUGUCAGCUGUUGGUCAACCGUUGCUCAGCCAGGACCCCCAUGUCCUUCUCACAGCUCCUCUCCAGCAGCUCAGCCCCAACCUGUGCAGCUCCAUGAGGUUAUUCCUCCCCAGCUGUAGGACCCUGCACUCCUCCUUGUUGGACCCAAGGUUUUUCAUCCCUCACCAAAAGCCAGGCUGGAUUUUUUUUAUGCUGCCAGCAAUGUGUCAGAUUCCCUCUGCCAGCCUACAUCAUGUGAUUACCCAGCGUGGUCUGUUGGGCUGAAAACUGCACGUCAUGUGGCCCAGAAAUUAAACUAAAAAUAAAAGUAGCUUUCUCUAAAGUGCUACAGCCAAAGGGACUGAGGGCAAUGGUUAUCAUCUGACAUCACUUCUACCCACGGGGAAAUCUCCCUUUCUAUCCAGGUGCCCUUCUUUUGGAUUGUGCCAUACUUUGAUACGCACAAGUCUGUGUUUGAUGAGAGUUUACUUGGGCAUGUUUGCUUUUAUUUGGGUGUAUAAUGCCAGUUGUAGGUAUAUGACUGCUAUUAUGAUAAUAACUGUUUACUUACAGGGUUAAGGGGACAAUUUGUCAUAACAGCUCUUCUUACCAUCUAUCCGUGAGUAUACGAUGUGACUGUGUUUUUUGGAGGAGAGAGGAAAUGUCUCUAUGUUUUCUGAUACAAGCCAAUGGGAUUUGCCAUGCUCUUGAAGAGUGAGACCCUGAGAUAACCACUGCUUUAUCUACUGUGAGCUCACAAUGAAUGCCACUGUUAUUUUUUUCCUUUUCCCUUCAGGCCAUAUUUAUUCUGCCUUUUCCUGGGUGUUUCUGUUUUGCAGCUUUGUGGGUUGGUAUUAAUGUUGUGUGGCAAGUGCAUGAAGCAGAUCCUUAUCUUCCCAUGGAAUUGCAACCUGAAACAAGCCUAGAUUCUUAGAACUGGUUGUGUUCAAGUUCAUAAGAUAACAUUUUAGAGCCAAUAUUAUUCAAAGGAAAAAAUUAAGCCAAAAUCAUGUAGGGGCAGAUGCUGAGUGUAAGCAAAUGUUGUGUGUUUAGACUACAUAAAAUAAUGGACUUUUUUGUUGUUGUUCUUUAACAGCUAUAAAGAUGGAGUGUUUGGGAAAUAGCAGGGUGCCACGAUGAAAACUGAUUUCAUAAACUUUAUCAAAGACCAGGAAUGGAAAUCCAUUGAACCAGUUUCAUCAUGGUUUCAUCCUUCCUUCUACCUGUAAGGUUUGGUAUGCCUCCUGUACUUGUUUGUUGUCAAGCAGGCACACUUCAAGGGCAGGUGGGACAGCUGCAGCACCUGUGUGCACCUCACCUGGUGCAGUUUCCUGAGCAAAGUUUACUUUUAGGUUUCAAAUGCUUGAAGUGCAAUGCUAGAUUGAAAUGUUACUUUUUUUUGGUGGCUCUUACAGGAAGCCUGGCGUUGUUACUUUGCCUGCUUACAGCACUGCCUGAAGCUUGAAACUGUGCAGUUGAUUUCCUGCACCCGAUUUUCCUGUUACUCCAUGCCAAGAAAUGCAUGAAAUAAAGUGCUUCUUUUAGGAUCAAUGUUUUCUAUUGGAAAUGUACAGUACCAGCUCCUUUCUGCAUGUUGAAGCAGUGUGCAGGACUGGUGAAUGUCCACUUCUGCAACUCAGUCUUUAGAAAUUUAUGUAGUCUUAAUGUUUAGAAUUCUCUUUUUUUUUUUUUUUUAAGGAUAAUCAAUACUUAAUGGUGAAGUUUCACAAUAACAGGGAAAUGUCAGAACCAGCAGAAUAUACGUGGCAGAUAGCCUGGUCUUCUUUACUUGUGUGUAAACUGCAGCUAAACUCAACUGGCUGAAUCUCUCUCAGUUCUUAUACCUUUUAUUCAGUAGGCUGAUUCUUUGGUUUGGGAAGUGCCCAAAUUGCUUAAUUAGUGAUAUCCUUCAUAGAGUUCCAGUUGUUGGGCCAUAAAUAACUGAUGAAUUUCAGUUACUUUUGUUUAUGUUCUGUGUCAGCAGGUUUAAGUCAAGGGAUUUUGUCAAGGAGUUGGUUGUUGUCCUAUGUGGAAUAUUGUACAGAGUGAUGUCAGUUCUGGAGGUGCUUCAUGGGAAAUGGGUGCUUACUGAACAACAGACAGAAUAGAAGCUAAAAGCAAAUUAAUCCAGAGGGAAACCAGGCAUGAGCAGUUGUUCAACAUGCAUCUAAAUAAUGGCUCAUCAGGCAAAUCAGAAGACAGUAGAUUCUGAUUGACUUGGGUAUUUUCAUGUACACUUUCCUGCUUUGUUCUGCAGUGUGUCAGCUUUGUGACAGAUGUCAGCGUGGGUCAGGCACUGCCAUGGUUAUUUAACAGAAAGCAUUGGAAUGCAGAUUUGGGGCUCCUACACUGUGUUCCUGUUGGCCACCCUCUUCUCAGGACUGAUCCUGCAGCUUGUAAGUGAGCCACUUGAAGCAGGUCAGUUUGUGUCUGCUGAGUGCCUGUGGUUUAAGCUUAUCUUCCAUUCCAGAUAAUGGUGUUCUUAGCAGACUGCCUCUGUGCUUCCAAAAACACAGGCCAGCACAGUGCCUUUAUUCAAGUAAGCACACUGUGUUCUUCUAGUUCAGUGAAGCUGUUGGGUAAACCUUAAUAAAAAUGGGGAUAUAACUUGUGCUUGCAGAACAGAAGGAAGUUUCACGUGUGCUUUGUGUUUUCUUUAACUGCAGCUACUUGCCUUUCAUGGUUUAUAUUGGGAUUGUGUAUGCAGCUAAUAGUAAACUAUUUCUUCAAGAUGAUUCUUUAGGUGAUAGAAAAAUACCACGUUUCAUUCCUGCAAGUUGUGAAAUGCAUGGGAGAUAGAAUAAAGUCGUUGAAUCACUGCCUUCUUUUCUGGAGUUCUCAGUUUUGAAGAGUUGGGGGAUUUCUCUCUUGUUGAGGGGCAAAGUGUCACAGAAUUGUAAGGGUUGGAAGGGACCAUCGAGUCCAACCCUCUGCAGAGCAGCUCCUUGCAGCAGGCUGCACAGGUUGGCAUCUCUAAGCUGGAAGGCAGCACAGCUCUUUGGAGAUAUCAUCCAGCUGGCACAUGGGACCCUCAGUGCCCCCCAGCAAGGAGUCCCCAAUUACUGAGACUCUCUGCCCUUUUUUGGUGGCACUGGUUGUGAUGCAGUGCCCCGACUGGCCCUGCUCCCUGUGCUUGUUACUCCCUGUAUCAUCAACAUGCCCCUCUGGGCUGGGUUCUGCCUGCUUUCCAGACUGCUGUCCGGCCUGAGAGCCUCGGAUCCAUUACUCAGCAGCACUUCAGGGGUUCUCUAUAGCAGAGAAGCAAAACUGCAGCUGUUUCCAUGGAAAAAAAGAAUGCUGUAACGCUAUAGUGAGUGAGCCAUUAGUGAGGCACUGCUGUGAAAAGACGAGUUCAAAUAAUUCCUUGGACUGAAGCUGCCCUGAGAUACUUGUGGUCUCUAGUUGGGACUGCCUUGCAUAUCUCAUGGUCGUUUGAGUCAUUUGGGUUAGAUGAUUUUUAUGGCUUGGGAAAGAGCUUUCAUGCAUACCAGGCUUUGAGCGAUGGCCGGCGGUGGGGGGAUGUAUUCUUGUGUUGCAAAAAGAAUGUGGGCCAGUUGACAAACGAUGUUUAAAAUUCAGUUCUUUGUAACCUCGUUGCAUUUGCCAAAAAUCCUGCUGCAUAUGGAUGCAAAUCAUCUCUGCUACAGACUGCUUCCUCCUCUUGUCCACCUACACGCAGUAUUUCAAACCCUACCAGCCGUGGUGGCCAACGCCGGUGCGUUUAUCUUGGAGUAGGAAACUGAAAUGAGGAUUGGCCGAGUUCUGCAAUGAAAGAUCCUUGGCAGGGGGGACAAAUCAGCACAAGGAACUGCUGACUAAAUAACCCUUGGCUAGAUUUAUGUAGAGCGCAUGAUAUCCUGAUGUCCUGUGGUCACUUCUGGAAACACCUCAUUUGUCUUCUGCUCACCCAGGAAAUCACGAACCUUGGCUGCUGCCACGACAGUGAUUUCAGCUCCAAAAAUUGUGAAAUUUGGGGCAGGAUCUUGAGAGAUGUAUCUGGCCAUGUGCACUUUGGGUUUGUCUGUUGCAGUUGUGUAGUUGGCCGUGAGCCGAUGUUCCUCACCAAAGCUCAAACGUCCCAGACAGAGACCUGCUCCAUUUGGAGCACAGAUCUGUUUGUAAAGGACUUUGGAACAUGUCUCACCAUGGUUUACUCCAGUUUUACCCUGGAAGGUGGCGGAAGAAGUUGUUGGGUUGUAAAAAGGAAACCAACCAAAGGGAAUCACGGGGCCAUUCAGUUUGGAGAGGACCUCCAACGUCCCUGUCCCAUCCCACCACGUCUCUCGGUGCCACGUCCCCACAGCUCUGGAACACCUCCAGGGUUGGUGACCCCACCACUCUCUGUGCAGCUGUGCCAAUACCUCACCACUCUUUCAGAGAAGAAAUUGUUCCCAAUACACCCAGCCUUGGAGAUGCACUUAAAGGUUGCUUGGACCGGUGUUAUUCCUGAAGGAAAUGCUACAGCAAGACCAGAAAUAAUUUCAUAGCUUAACAGAGCAUGGCAAAAGCAUGAAACAAACCAGUGUAAGUAAUUUUAGUUGAUAGAUGUGCAUACAGUGGGUACAGGGCCAAGUUGUGCCACAUUAUGGUAUGGUACCCCAUCCCUGGAAGUGCCCAAGGCCAGGCUGGAUGCUGCCAUGGGCACCCUGAGCUGGCAGCACCUAUUGCAGUGGUUGGAAACCCUAGUUUGGAACUGGAUGAUCUUAGAGAUGAUCUUCCAACCCAACCAUUCUUUGAUCUCUGCGCUGCUUCUCACACUGCGUCUUGCCUUUGGCCAGGGCCAGGCUGGGCAAGCAGCUGUCAGCUGGUGGCAGCAGAGCUGUGCAGUGUGCGAGGAGCUGCUCACAGAGCUGGUUUUGUCAGGGUUUGCUCCCUGCACAGCCUGGGGCUUUGGAAAGGCCGGGGGAGAAUGGAGCUGCGGUGCUGCCCUCGGGCUGGGGGCUGCUGCAUUUGGCUGGUUCAUCCGUCCCUUCUCCUCUCUGCCUCUCCCAGUCCCGACAUGUAUUCCUGCCCAUCGGGCCCAGCCCACGUCUGUUGUUUCUGGCUGCAUCUGCAGAAGCUGUUUAUUUACAAAUCUCUCCAGAAUUGGCCUCUUUGGUUCAAACUGAUGCAGGCGUUGCUUGAAGGAAAGCUGAUUUUUGACAGUCAGCGUGAGGAUGGGAACAGAUGGAGGCUUUGAUGAAUUAGGUAUCUCUGAGUGUCGUCCUCCUGCAAAUCAGCUUGGUUUUCUCCAUUAGCAUAAGAAGCAGGAAAAAGGAUUUCAUUUCUCCCAACGUUUCCCCUUUCCCCACCUCUCCAGCUCAGAGAUGCGUGUUGCUGCGUACCAACGAAGCGGCUCAGCUCCUUCCACAAAGCAGCAGCAGUUCCCAAUCCUUUGCUGGCACUUCUCCCUCCCUGGGGUGCGUGCUGUGCUGCUCUCCACCACGGGAUGCUAAAACGAGAGCCUUCCUGGGGCCGUGAGUCAUCUGCAGUGUGAAUUACUCGUUCUGCUUCGCUGAGAGCAGGAGAGAUCUGAGCUGGGCUGCGCUUACUCACGGCUGCUCCUCCAUCACAGCCAACUCAGGGCAGUGCAGGCAGCGCAGAUGCGGAGAACGCGGCUGCACUGUGAAUUAUUGAUAAGGGAAUAACAGCGCUGGGAGAUAAUCUCUGGAGGAGUGCGGAGAGUAAAUCUCUGCUGCACAGGGAGUGAGUGUCCCCGUUAGGAGAGCUUCUCCUAGGCAGGGGAUAGCAGCAGUGGGAGGUUUUGCUUGAGUGCAGAGUGCAGAAACAGGCUCCAUGCAGUGUUUCAGGGAAGGAGUUUGGCAGGGAGAGAGAAAGUUGUACCCUCAGGCCUUGCUCUUCCUUUGGGAACGUCAAAAUAUGCAGCUGAGAGCAGCAGGUCCUCCAGGAGAAGGCCACUGAAUCUCUGCACACAAAGUCGGCACCCCAUUACCACCAGCUGGCUUUUCUCCACGUGGACAGAUGGGGGUGAUGCUCUUGCCCAACCCAAAAUGGGUGAGCAGGGAUUCCCGUAUCCAGAGACUCAUGGAAUCACAGAAUGGUUUGAGUUGAAACGAGGCUCUAAAGGCCGUCUGGUCCCACUCCCGUGGCUCCAUCAGGUGCUCAGCCUGACCUUGGCUGUCUGUGGGGACAGGAGCAUCCUAACCCUGUGGAUGCCGUGCCAGACUGGCCCUAUGGCUCCCAUCACACAAACACACCUGCUGCUCCAGCUGCUGAGUGCUGGGGGCCAUGUCUCAGUUACCCUGCAUGGCACAGGGCAGGAAGCACACUGGCAGGGUAGGGCUGGGUGAAUGCCCCCAGUGAAAGCACCAUCUGUGACAUGCACACGUCGCUUGCACCGACCUGAUGCUGUCUGCUGCCCCAGCCUUGCUUUGCUGGCUGGCCAUCUGCUCUCUGCAGGAUGGGUUUGCACCAUCUGUAGCAUUGACAAGCACCAUAAAUUUCACAGAGCAAUGGAUGUCAGUGCUGGAGCUGGAUUUCCCUCCAUAUCAUAGAAUCACAGAACGGCCCGGGUUGGAAGGACCUCAAGGAUCACGAA
Long non-coding RNA from Centrocercus urophasianus (Greater sage-grouse), 6744 nucleotides. RefSeq lists it as uncharacterized. The transcript has 3 exons. Lineage: Eukaryota; Metazoa; Chordata; Aves; Galliformes; Phasianidae. The record is from RefSeq and is a predicted model, not a curated record.